This 375-nucleotide ribosomal RNA is filed under the name uncultured organism. RNAcentral describes it as "partial 16S ribosomal RNA". It matches the Rfam family "Bacterial small subunit ribosomal RNA", at positions 527 to 896 of the family's 1533-position model. The record is from RNAcentral.
GUAGGUGGCAAGCGUUGUCCGGAAUUAUUGGGCGUAAAGCGCGCGCAGGCGGUUCUUUAAGUCUGAUGUGAAAGCCCACGGCUCAACCGUGGAGGGUCAUUGGAAACUGGAGAACUUGAGUACAGAAGAGGAAAGCGGAAUUCCACGUGUAGCGGUGAAAUGCGUAGAGAUGUGGAGGAACACCAGUGGCGAAGGCGGCUUUCUGGUCUGUAACUGACGCUGAGGCGCGAAAGCGUGGGGAGCAAACAGGGAUUAGAUACCCUGGUAGUCCACGCCGUAAACGAUGAGUGCUAAGUGUUAGGGGGGUUUCCGCCCCCUUAGUGCUGCAGCUAACGCAUUAAGCACUCCGCCUGGGGAGUACCGGCCGCAAGGCUG